RNAcentral lists this ribosomal RNA (843 nucleotides) under Triticum aestivum (bread wheat). Its description in RNAcentral is "partial small subunit ribosomal RNA". Lineage: Eukaryota; Viridiplantae; Streptophyta; Magnoliopsida; Poales; Poaceae. The record is from RNAcentral.
UUGCUAGUUGAGGUGCAUGCCAAACCUUCUAAGAAAUCUGCCGCCAAGAGAGCUAAACCUGCUAAGGAACCGUCUGUUAAGAAACCUAAGAAGGCACAUGUUGAUAAGGCACCUAAAGUCCUAAAAUCAGCUAUGGAUGAUGUACUAUGUAGUGCUACAUCAUCUGUAGUUGUGGACAAUGCCAAUGAAGAAGCACUUGAGCUUGUUCAGUCAAUAGGGAGUCAAACAAGUGCUAUUAUUGACAAUGAUAUGAAUUUUUCAACAUGUGAUGUUGUUCAACCUAAUGUGCCAUCAAUUUCUGAAGUGGAUGAAAGCAAUGAGCAAUGUGGGUCUUCAGUGGUGGUUGAUACAAAACCACCAAUUGAUUGGAGCCUAAUUGAGAUUGCUCCUCCAAAUGAAGAUUAAGUGGAUGUUUCAACUACAAAGGAGAAUAUGUGUGACUUUCUGGGUAUUGAUGAGGAUGAGACACAGGAAGCACCUCCUUCGCCACCUAGUGAGGAUGUGUAUCUCACUGAUGAGGAGGACCAACAACUAUUGAAUGAGGCAGCUAUUCUUGUUGAUGAUAGGAUAACUCAGGAGGAUGAGAUUGCAUAUGACAAAGAGAACCCUCGGAUGUAUGUAGGUGCCUUAUUCCCUUCAAUGAAAGAGUUCAGGAUGGCAAUAAAACAAUAUGCCAUUAACAAUGAAAUUGACAUAUGGGGAUCUAAAAUAGGUAAAAGAUGUCUUGGAAAUUGUAGAGGCAUCAAGUGUCCAUGGAGGGUAACUGCUCGUUUAAAGGUUGAUGAGAAAACAAUAAGGGUACUAACUAUCUUGCUAAUAAGAACUUCUAUUUCUAGUAAUUAG